AAAAACAUGUCUUGUUGAUUUUAUAAUAUUAAGUCUAAUCUGCUCAAUGAAUAUAGUUUAAUAGCCAUGGUAUUUUAACCAUGCAAAGGUAGCAUAAUAAUUUGUCUUUUAAUUGAAGGCUUGAAUGAAUGAUUGAAUGAGGGAUAAACUUUCUUAAUCUAAAAUAUUUUGAAUUUAAUUUUUAAGUAAAAAAGCUUAAUUUUAGUUGUGGGACGAGAAGACCCUAUAGAAUUUUUAUUAGUAUUUUUACUUUUAUUUUUAGGUGAAGAAUUAAUUAAUAAGGAUAAAAAUAUUAAUUUGAUUGGGGUGAUUAUGGAAUUUAAUAAACUUCCAUUAUUAAUUAUUUCAAUAGUUAUUGUAUUUUAGAUCCUUUAUUAUGGAUAAAAAGAUUAAAUUACCUUAGGGAUAACAGCGUAAUUUCUUUGGAGAGUUCUUAUCAAUAAAGGAGUUUGCGACCUCGAUGUUGGAUUAAAGUUAAUUAAUAGUGCAGAAGCUAUUUAAUUGGGUCUGUUCGACCAUUAAAUCUUUACAUGAUCUGAGUUC
This 543-nucleotide ribosomal RNA is filed under the name Largus rufipennis. Its description in RNAcentral is "partial 16S ribosomal RNA". It matches the Rfam family "Bacterial large subunit ribosomal RNA", at positions 1809 to 2612 of the family's 2925-position model. The record is from RNAcentral. Lineage: Eukaryota; Metazoa; Arthropoda; Insecta; Hemiptera; Largidae.